GCUUGCUUCAGCUUACAUAUACUAAAAAAUUGGAAUGAUACAGAGAAGAUUAGCAUGGCCCCUGUGCAAGGAUGACAUGCAGAUUUGUGAAGCAUUCCAUAUUAAA
This is a small nuclear RNA of Callorhinus ursinus (northern fur seal), 106 nucleotides long. Lineage: Eukaryota; Metazoa; Chordata; Mammalia; Carnivora; Otariidae. The record is from RefSeq and is a predicted model, not a curated record.